GCGGGUGUAAUCUAGUGGUAGGAUAGAGGCCCUCCAAGCCUUUAGCCCGGGUUCAAAACAGCCUUUUUCUUUUCUCUAAGAGAGAAAAGAAAAACGUUGGCGAAAAAGAAAGAGAACUGCUGACUUACCAGUCGGCAUAGCGAUUUUGCCCUAAGGGCAAAAUCGCAGUUCUUUUCUUUCUUCAACAGCUGGUGAAAUUCCCGGCACCCGCA
This 212-nucleotide transfer RNA is filed under the name Thermoplasmatota archaeon. Its description in RNAcentral is "Candidatus Thermoplasmatota archaeon (groundwater metagenome) tRNA-Gly". Lineage: Archaea; Methanobacteriati; Thermoplasmatota. The record is from RNAcentral.